This 482-nucleotide ribosomal RNA is filed under the name uncultured bacterium. Its description in RNAcentral is "bacterial SSU rRNA". It matches the Rfam family "Bacterial small subunit ribosomal RNA", at positions 29 to 526 of the family's 1533-position model. The record is from RNAcentral.
AAUGAACGUUGGCGGCGUGGAUUAGGCAUGCAAGUCGAGCGAGAACCCCGCAAGGGGGGACAGCGGCAAACGGGGUAGUAAUGUGUCGGAACGUGCCCUGAGGUCGGGGAUAGCGGCGGGAAACUGCCGGUAAUACCCGAUGAUCUCGAGAGAGCAAAGGUGUGAUUCCGCCUUUGGAGCGGCCGACAUGGUAUUAGCUAGUUGGCGGGGUAACGGCCCACCAAGGCUGUGAUGCCUAGGGGAUGUGAGAGCAUGAUCCCCACCAUUGGGACUGAGACACUGCCCAGACACCUACGGGUGGCUGCAGUCGAGAAUCUUCGUCAAUGGGCGAAAGCCUGAACGAGCGACGCCGCGUGCGGGAUGAAGGCCUUUGGGUUGUAAACCGCUGUCGAGGGGGAUGAAGGCUGGAUGGUCAUCUAUCCAGUUUGACAGAGCCCUGGAGGAAGCACGGGCUAAGUUCGUGCCAGCAGCCGCAGUAACAC